This 31-nucleotide non-coding RNA is filed under the name Mus musculus (house mouse). Lineage: Eukaryota; Metazoa; Chordata; Mammalia; Rodentia; Muridae. The record is from RNAcentral.
UACAUUGAUGAUAAUACUGUGGAUGCUAUGG